UCCUACGGGAGGCAGCAGUAGGGAAUCUUCCGCAAUGGACGAAAGUCUGACGGAGCAACGCCGCGUGAGUGAUGAAGGCUUUCGGGUCGUAAAACUCUGUUGUUAGGGAAGAACAAGUGCUAGUUAAAUAAGCUGGCACCUUGACGGUACCUAACCAGAAAGCCACGGCUAACUACGUGCCAGCAGCCGCGGUAAUACGUAGGUGGCAAGCGUUAUCCGGAAUUAUUGGGCGUAAAGCGCGCGCAGGUGGUUUCUUAAGUCUGAUGUGAAAGCCCACGGCUCAACCGUGGAGGGUCAUUGGAAACUGGGAGACUUGAGUGCAGAAGAGGAAAGUGGAAUUCCAUGUGUAGCGGUGAAAUGCGUAGAGAUAUGGAGGAACACCAGUGGCGAAGGCGACUUUCUGGUCUGUAACUGACACUGAGGCGCGAAAGCGUGGGGAGCAAACAGGAUUAGAUACCCUGGUAGUCCACGCCGUAAACGAUGAGUGCUAAGUGUUAGAGGGUUUCCGCCCUUUAGUGCUGAAGUUAACGCAUUAAGCACUCCGCCUGGGGAGUACGGCCGCAAGGCUGAAACUCAAAGGAAUU
RNAcentral lists this ribosomal RNA (584 nucleotides) under uncultured bacterium. RNAcentral's name for it is "bacterial SSU rRNA". It matches the Rfam family "Bacterial small subunit ribosomal RNA", at positions 337 to 911 of the family's 1533-position model. The record is from RNAcentral.